CGGGGUGUAGCGCAGUCUGGUAGCGCACCAGUAUGGGGUACUGGUGGUCGGAGGUUCAAAUCCUCUCACCCCGACCA
RNAcentral lists this transfer RNA (77 nucleotides) under Ktedonobacterales bacterium. RNAcentral's name for it is "tRNA-Pro". It matches the Rfam family "tRNA". From Rfam's summary of the family: Transfer RNA (tRNA) molecules are approximately 80 nucleotides in length. Their secondary structure includes four short double-helical elements and three loops (D, anti-codon, and T loops). Further hydrogen bonds mediate the characteristic L-shaped molecular structure. tRNAs have two regions of fundamental functional importance: the anti-codon, which is responsible for specific mRNA codon recognition, and the 3' end, to which the tRNAs corresponding amino acid is attached (by aminoacyl-tRNA synthetases). tRNAs cope with the degeneracy of the genetic code in two manners: having more than one tRNA (with a specific anti-codon) for a particular amino acid; and 'wobble' base-pairing, i.e. permitting non-standard base-pairing at the 3rd anti-codon position. The record is from RNAcentral. Lineage: Bacteria; Bacillati; Chloroflexota; Ktedonobacteria; Ktedonobacterales.